UCGUGUUAAGAUCAUUACUAGCCCAACGCCGUUGAUUCGAUGUCUCUCCAUACCAGACGUUUACUCUUGGAGGCGUGCUUGAUUCUCCUCUAGUGAAAAUCUUCAAUUUGGGACAACCAAUCACAGAUAGAUCUUGCAAAGAUGGGAAUUUGAAGGUGUAAUUGGCAGAGCAGAAACUUGUGAGGCUGUCUAAAUCACGCAGUUCCAACCUCUUCAAUUUGCGGAAAACAAUCUCUUCUUUUUCAACCCCGUCUUUGUCAUUUAUUACCACCUCUGUCAUUGCUCUGCAUCCGUAUACACAAAGUGAUACGAGUCGCACUAGAGUUUUUGCUGUGGAGGAUGUUACUAAGUGUAUCAAUUUCUUGCAAUCGAAAGCUACAAGUUUUGUUAGGUUCCCAAAAGAUACCGAUGAUGUUGGCAAUAGAAUUAACAGACUUUGACAAUGAUAUACUCUUAGAAUUUCAAGAUACUGAAAAAUGGGGCCAAAUUUGGAGUCUUGUUUGCACAGCUGCUUCAGAUGAUAGUGCCGGUACAGCUCUAAUUCUUUUAUCAUUGCCAACUUCCCCACAUGUUUCUCUAAGCAUCCUUCCAUCGAAAAUACCUCUUCGUGGAAUGAAAAAUAACACAGUACGAGCAUUUCGAGAUUGUGAAAUCUCUCCAGUACAUUCCAGAUUGGAAAACAAGCUGAGUCAUCAGCAGCAAUCCCUAGAUCUCUAAGACUGCCAAAAAGGUGUUGUGGGAAAUCGGCCUGCAAAAUCAUCUUCACGUCUUUUCCGCAUAGUGAUAGUUCCGUCAAGUUGGGUAAGAUCUGAUCAUCAUCAAUCAUAAUAACUAAUAAGGUCAAUUGAUGUUUUCUCAAAUGAUUUUGAGUAAUCCAAUCAUAAGCAGUGAGUUUAUAGUAUUUGUUUUAUAUUAUAUUUUAAAAAAAAUUGUAUUAUUGAUAAAAUUUAUUAAAUGAUUUUUUAUAUGUUAAUUUUAGAGGUAAAAAAGAAAUUAGGGAAAAAAGGUUGAUUUAUACUGACUCGAAAUUAUUUUAUUGCACAAUAAUAAAUUACUAAUUUAUUUUGUAAGUUCUUCUAUAUGGAAAGACUCAAGAUUCUUUUACAAAUGCUAUACCUAAAAAAGUUUAUAUAAUCAUUAAUCUACCACAUUGAUCCCUUAGUCUAGACUAGCAAAGAUUAUUGUAUAAUAAAAGUUUUCAAUUUAUUGAGCAUUAAUUUAUCAAAGUUAAAAAUAAGCUAUAGAUAAAAAAUCUAGAAAAUGGCUUCAUACCUUUUCCAACGGCAAUAGGGGCUGUUGUGCAGGAAUACCAAGUUGAUCAUUCCCAUUAUUCUGCGAUAAAUCUGCCGUGAAUAUCUUUAAUCUGUCACAACGAUACACUAAAAGAAUUUCUAGGGCGGGCCAUUCCGAAGUAUGCAUUCCAGGGUACAAACAUCUAAGUUUUGGUAGAUCAUGGAGUAUCAAAGUGGUGAGCUGUGGAAAGACAAAAUAAGGGAUCACUUGAUCUGCUCUGUUUUCAGAAAUGAUCUCCUGUAAAUCCUCACAGGAGCGUAUUUCUAGGCGUUGGAGCUGCUUAAGGCUUCCGAUCAUAGACGCUGAAAAUAUGUAUUUUAAUUUGUGACAACCCCACACAAUCAAUCGUGUUAAACUUUGAAAGUGAGGAAACACUGCAGCUGGAAUUUGAUUGUAGUGCCAAAUCUUGUCGACAUUAAUUUCAGAUAUCUCCAAAGCCUCCAAGUUAGGCAACGCAACCUAAAAAGAUAAGAAUUUCUUGUUGAAAAUUUCUCUUUGAUUACAAAUUAAUGCAAGUCAGAAUCAAUUUCCAACUGACAGCUGAGUAUGCAUUCUAAUUCAUACUACUUGUUAAGAGCUCAAUUAGUGAGUGCGUGAGAUUAUUUUUUUCCCCAUUGUUUUCAUUUUCUUUCAAUUCUCUAAAUGAUUUAAUUAUUUUCCACGUUUGACAUAAGAGAACGCAUGAUAGAAUAAACUCUGUUAUAUAUAUAUAUGAAUAAAAUGUUAGCCUACGCACCUUCUCAUUGAAAAGCAAAGUUGAAAUAUCCAAAGUGAUUUCGCUGGAGCAAUACAUAGUCGUCGAUUCCUCUUGCGACACUUGUCUGUUCGGUGAUGCUGAAGGAGUCUCCACCUCACGGCAAAAACUUGUAACCUCUGGAAGAUUCCCCAGACUCAAAGAUCUUAAUUGAGCAAACUCUAUCUUCUCAAUUGCAUUAUCAACUUCUUUCCCAAUUGCAAAAAUCUCUUUCAUCUUGCUGCAAUUAAUAACUGCAAUUCUCUCAAGUCUUGGAAGGCAUUUUGUAGUAGAGAGCCAAAAGAUAUUACUCAACUUAUCACAAUUAUAUACUUCUAUGUUUUUGAGUUCGUUGAAAGACUCUACUUUGAGCCGAUCAAUACAUAUCCUCUCCAUGUUGAUCAAAUUGUGAAGGGCAAGUGACUCCAAAAGAGGAAAGGCAUCACAAGCGACCAUCUCCCUUGAAUCGACGAUACAAAAGAAGUCAGGAUUAUUUUGAACCCAGAGGACCUUCAAUUGUGAAAAGCCCUCCGUGUCCAAAUUGAAAAGAACAUUCUCGAUGCCUUGCAGCUUGUCCAACCGUAAGUAUUGAACGUUAUUGAUGCCUUGCAAUUUCAUGGAGCAAAUGUCCAUAAAAUCAAGCUUGAGCUUCAAUGCUCUUGAAAUCUUGCGAUUACUGUCGAUCAAAAAGUGCAGCUGACUUUUAAACCAAUGUUGUCCAAAAAGCAUGGGAUGCAUGAAUAACCCAUUUCCAAUAUGUAUUUUGAACCUUUCGAGCUUUCUGGCCAAAAAGCCUUCUGGUAACAUACUCUCAUUUUUAACAUCAAUUUCUAGAGUAGUUAGCCGAGGUAAAUGCAUCAAUUCGUCAAGGCUAGCAUUACUUCUUUUGCUGUUGGCUCUUUCAACCUCCCAUUCAAUGAAGCAAUUACCCAUAUACAAUUCUUCUAAUCGGAUUAAGCUUGAUAUGACAUUUGGGGCAAUAACUUUCAGACGGAAACAGUGUUAAAUCUAACAGCCUUAGCUUAGUCAGUUGACCCAGUGCUUUAGGCAACUCUACAAUAUCAGAUUGCAAAAAGCUAAGGAUUUCUAGAUUUUCCAACUUUCCAAUAAUGGCUAUGUCUAUGCCUCCGAAAAUGCUUUGAUUAAGACAAAGUGUCUGAAGAUUUACUAGAAGACCAAUUGAAGAUGGCAAUGACAAUAACCGCAUUCUAGUCAAAUCCAAAACCCGAAGCUUUUUCGUCCUUUUGAAGAAGUUCUCGGGAAUAUUAGGCACAGCAAAAGAGUUCUUGGGAGACAUGAAUAGAAGUUCAAGUUGUAGAGAUUCCGACCCUUCAGGAAUGUCAUUAACAAUACUAUCUUUAAAAGAAAUUGCAAAAUAUUUUUUAAUUCAUCUGCAUUUGGCCAUUUCCAAUCAUCCUCAUUUCUCACCACAAAUGCAUUCAUGUCACGAAAUGCAAUUGAAAUGGCAACAUCGCGAACAACAUCGUGCAUAGAAAUGUAUUUACUGCCACCAUCCUCAAGCAACAAACAAGAGUCUCUUAGUUGAUGGACCCAUGCAUGUAAUUUGUUAUGUGCAUCUUCUAGCUUAUGGACACUUUUAAAUACACCCAAGCCCAUGCUGUAUUUGAACAAAUCCAUAAUUGGUGCUGGCGUAAUAAGACUACACAGUAAAAAAGUUUUCUUGAGUUGCUCACCUCUUAAGUACUUGUAACUCAGCUCAAUUGUUGAGUAUGCCUCUGCUGGUACUCCUUCGUCGAAGCUUGCCUCUGAAGGCGUUUGGAGUUCUUGCAAGGCAUUCUUCCACACAGGCAGCUCUUUUUUUCUCAGUGCCUUUGCUACUGUGGUUAGGGCAAUAGGCAAACCUCCGCAUGCCUUGGCUACACUUGUUGCUGUAGAUUUUAACUCACGAUUUUCAACAUAAUCACCAGCCAUUAUCUUGAACAAUCUCCAGGCUUCUUGUUCAUUUAAAAUGCCAAUCGAGAAGUUUUUUUCAGAUCCCAUCCUUAACAGCACAUCAAGAUCUCUUGUUGUGAAUAAUAAUUUACAUCCUCUGUGCUCAACUCCAAAAGGAAUGCCAAUAGUCCCCAAAUCAAGAGGAUUCCAGAUGUUAUCGAGAAUCACAAGGAUCUUCUUCUCAUUCUUCAAUCUUUCAUAUAGUCUACUAGCUCUUCUAGACUCAGCUUCCUCGGACAACUCUAGGCCUAACGUUUCCGCAAUUUCCUCUUGGAUCUUUCUUAUGUCUGGACAUUGGGUAACCUCCGAAAAAACCACCAUAUCGUAAAGCUUGUCUUCAAUGGCUCGCCUUGCAAACUCCUUCACCAGUGUCGUCUUUCCAAUGCCGCCCAUGCCGUACACCCCAAUGAUGCUGACAUCAACAUCGAUCAAUGCAUUUUGUAUGGCCUUCAAAGUAGAAAGUCUUGAUUCGAAGGCUUCGUAGCCUUUGUGAGACUUGAGCCAUAUAUCCUCCGGAAUGGUACGGUAGGAAAUUCCAUCAACAAAUCUCCCAGCUUCUUCUCGGAGUUUAACAAUGGCCUUCACCUUUGUUUCUGCUUUCUUGCUAAGCUGAUAGCGGGUCUUCAAAUUAGGACACAAGCCCAUGAGACAUCGUUUAUUUGUUGUCUUCUCAUCAUCAAUGAAUUUGGCUGCCUGCUCAAUGAUGAUGUUCGCACUAACCAGCCACUUCUCAACCUUCUCUUCAAUAUUUUCCCCUUUUCUUUCAGCCUCAGAAACCCUGUGCUGAAUGCUUCUCCUUUCAUCCUUGAGCUUGUCUAUUUCUGCCUUGAGUUUCUCAACGUUGGCUUUAUAGUUACGCAAAUAACCAAGUCGGCGUUCUGUUGGAGGAGCCAAGCAUUUCACAAAUUCUAAAACAAUAGUAACAAUGCUUUCCACCAUCCUGGAUCCCUUUUCUUUUUUUCGAAGUUUCUGACAAGAAAAUAAACAAUGAGCGAAACACAGAGAGAGUGAGGAGAAAAAGAAAAAGAAACGCAAAGAUGGACAGUUUAUCUGGUUGUGGAAGCGGAGAAAUGAAAGAAAUCGUAAUAGCUGUUAUGGAUCUGCUGAGAAGAUGGAAACAAGGAAAAGGUUUCUAGUUCAACAACUGGAUUGCGAGCGGAGAGACUAAUUAACAAAGACUGGAGAUUACAACAAAGCAGAUGCCAAGAGAAAAGUUGAUCCAGUGAAAUUCAAGAGAGUUGACAGCAAAAGGGAGCAAAGAUUAAUAACAAAACAGCAGUGACUACAAUGAACAAAAGCAUAUGCGUUUCUUGAUUGAGAAUGAGUGCAAAGAAUGAUCCUUAAUCAAUAAAAUAUCUAACAAUAUCUUCACCGAAAGUUUGAGACAUGUGAUCCUUAUUCCACUUCGUCAAUUACACUCCAGACCAAUGCUGCCGUCAUUAUCGAACGGUCGAUAUCCAACACUUGCACGAAGAUUCCAAGAAGUUGCGUGGCUGCCGACUUUUAGAUGCAAAGCCUCAUUGUGUCGAUGUUACACGAAAGAGAGCAGUCCGGGUAAUUGCCAAAACUUAGAACUAAACAGUAGCUUAGUCAGAAAAUCAAACGCCAGUACCGGUAAAAUGACCGAUAAAAAUAUAAAAAAACAAAAAUUUUAAAGUUUUACUUCAUUGCUUUUUUAAUCUUAUUACUAUUUCUCCUUGCACUUCUAAAGAAACCAAAGCUUUAAAAGAAAUCAGCCAAAUCACGAAGAUUGAAAACUAAAUCUAUGGUUUUAGAUUUUUAUUUUAUUUUUUUAGAUAAUAGAUAUUGUUGAGUAAUGAAAAGUACCAGCUCAGCUAUCCCCGCUUCCCUCACCUUGGGGCGAAUCUCCCCAGAUGAAUGGCACAAGCAGAUUCCUGGUAAUACAUCCUGUACGGGGCAUAUGCCAACUAGAAACGAGUACCGACCAGAUGUACAUACCGACCAAGUACUCAUUAUUCAAAGAAAGAGGACACGAACUCACAAACUCACGACAAUUUUGUUAUGCCCCAAACCGUUGGGGAGAACAUGACGCCCCACGUUUACCCACGAUUCGGUGGUUGGAGACCCAUGAAGGUUUGUCAUCACCCGAAAAUGAGGGGCAUGAAUAAGACUCAGAAAACAGGGGAUGAUUGCCUAUAAAAGGCCAAGAAAUCGAUGAAAAAUGGGAGACACAAAUUGAGAGUAAAGGGGAAACUCUGUCAAAUUAUAAUCAGAAAUUCAUAUAUCCAAAUCCUUGAUACAUUUGGUAUUGAGAAUAUUGCAACUAAUAUGUACAACACAAAUCAUUCACUUUUCUCGUAAACACCUUGUACUAACUUAAGUAUCGAAGGGUUUAUGCCCAAAAAACCAUCGGCGUCUCUGAUUUGUUUCUGUGAACGCAGGCCUGGAAGGAAGAAGACGGGUGAUUUGGGUCCCAGAAGCUCGGGAAAUUGCUGAAGCUAAUGGAUCGCAGCCUCUGUUCCUUUGCCAAUACAAGCGUUGGUGAACCAAUCUGGUCGGUCCAAAGGCGACUAGAUUUCAGCAUCAACAGAUAUUAUUUUGAUGAAUUUUUUAAUAUUAGAAUAAUGUUAGGAAUUCCAAUAAUAAAAUUCUAACUUGAGACCCAAUUGUUAUGUGUUAUUUUUUUAUUGAAUAAUGAAUUUCACAACUAAUAAAAUUUAUAUUUCCAUCAUCUAAUAAAUGACUACCAUAUCAGUUGGGACUCAAUUAUUAGGAUCCUUAACAUUGCUCUUAGUAUUAAAUUGGACAUCUUAGCUAAAUCAGAUUAAAAAUCAAAUUAGUUUUUAGGCUUUUAUUCAACAUCUCUUUUUUUUUUUUUUUUGUCUAUUGGAAGUGAACGAAAUAAAAAUACAACAGGGUCAACGACUGGGCAAUUGGUAGUCAAGUAGAAGCAAAUCAAGGCUAAAUGGGAAAGAGAAAUGAUAUUUGUGCAAAAUAAGGAGAAAAUCAGUGUAACAGAAGAGAAUCAAAGUGCUUUUGAGAUAAAAAAUUGAAACAAGAAAAGGGUCGCUUGAUCCAAUGAAAAUGCAAAGAGCUGAUGGCAAAAGGGAACAAAGUUAAAUAAGAAAACAGCUAGCGCUAGCAGCGACCACAAUAAACAGAAAAUUUGAGAUGGAUUUACAAUAUUUCUGCCUUUCUUUAUGCUUUAAAAAAUAUUGCUCUAUCAAAAAAAAUAUUGAACAUUUUUAUUAUUGGAGUCACAAAUGACCUACACAAUAUAGCAAGUGACUAGGAAUAAAUAAGAAUAUAUAACUCUCUCUAAUUCUCACUCUGGCUUUUAAUUGUCACUCAAAACCCAGAAUUCAUCCUUAAAGUGUAGGCAAAUCAAGGAUGACACCGUUUGGUUGUCAUACGUGCCUUUUAGUUUUCGGAUGACAUGGCGUACACUUCUUCUGUAAACCCAACAAGACAUGUCGUACUCUUUUGUUUUGAGAUUCUAUUUCAAACUUUUCAUGCUAUGAAUGAAAGAUAAACUCCAAUCAUCAAAAUAUUUAGUGUUUGUUUGGUAAUGUAAUGUCAUAGUUGUGAAUUGAAAUUAUUUCUAUAAAAUAAAAGGAUUUGGGUCAUUGUUUGUUAUUUUCUGACAACAUUUAUUAAAUAUUAAAAAAUAAAUUUAUAUUUAUUAGGUAUUAAAAAUAAAUAAACAAACAAAAAUAAAAGUAAAAGUUUAUACAUUACGUAAAAUAAUGACAAUAUCAAUAUUUCGCACUCUAUAAUUGAGUGAUGUGUUGUCCAACUGGCAUACAUUGGUCCCAAACGGAGACUUAAAUAUCAAAGUCCAAAGUUAUUAUGAUGAUGACUUAUAAUCGCCAAACUUGACAUACGGGUAAUCAUGCAUUAUAAGGUGCUAAUUUCUUCCGAUCGGAACCUUAUUUUUCAUUUACAAAUAAAUAAAUGAUGUGACUUCACGGUUGGCGGGGUCCUUUGUGUCAUUUGGGCAUUUCACUAAAUGAUUGAUUGUAGCAGGAAGAUUCCUGGAAGUUGCCAUUUGCCAAUGCUACUAACAUUUUCAAACUUGGAAAACCCUUCAAUCAAUCUUUUAGUGGUAGGCUCUGGUAACUUGGUUUGAUUAUGACGUAUAAUUAUUUGAUAAUAAAGUUAGAGGAUGUAUUAAUAUAAAAUUUGUUUAUUGGUGUUGAAGUUAAUUAUCUCAUUAAUAAUAGUAUAAAAAGUUAAUUACUAAGAAACACAUAGCAAUAGUUAAUUGGUGUCAUAUUAUUGGGAUUCUGGGAUACAAUUUUAUAUCAUAACUUUGUAAGUGUAUACUUACUCAUCAAACUAAUAAAAUUAUUUAAAAAUUUCAGUUGGAAAAAAUAAAUUAUAUUAUUUUCAUUUCAAAUAAUCUAUAAGUUAACUCAAAACAUAAUCAAGCUGAGAAUUAAAAUAAUGCUACUGUAUGAGAGGAUUUUUAUUUUUUCCCGAAGUUUCACUAGGAAAUUAUUGAUACAUAGCUUUAUUCGGAUCAUCUCAGUUCAAACGACAAAUAAUUGAAAGACUAAGCUAAAUAGACCAGCCAACAACUUUGUACAAGAGAGUUCAAAAAUUAAGGUCAUGGUAUUAAGGUGUUCUAUCUUGAAAAGUAUAGAGUAGUAAUAAAAUAAAAACUAAUAGUUUUUGGUAAGAUAUGACAUUUAAAUAAUAAUUUUCACAAAAAUACAAGGAAUAUUUAUAAAUUACUUUUAUAGUGAGGGGACCCUCACUCUGUUAAAGUGAAAAUAUCAAUAAUAUACAAAAGACAUAUAUUUUAACACAUUAAAAAUUGUAUUUUUUUUAUCUAUUGGUGUAUUGAAAUAUGUGUUAUUUAGUUUGUUAGUGAUAUCAUUACUUUGUUAAAAUGAGAAUGUCGUUACUAGAGAAUCAUUAUGUAUACAUAUAUAAAGUGCUUCUGUCCAAGACCUAGACUUUAUUAAAAUUUGAGAAAGCAAAUAUAUUUUAUAUGGUAUAAUAGUGUAAUAACAUCACACUAUUAUAUCAUAUAGAGUAAUAGUUUUUCGAACUUUAAUAAAAUUCAAGAUUAUAGAAUGAAUGAUUUUUAUAUAUUAUAAAUUUUUUUAUCAUAAAUGGAGGACAAAAUUAACAUAUUUUCAAAUUAUAAUAAGCAUUUAUCAAAUAAUUUAACAUUGCAAUUUCUCCUAACUAGUAUAGUAAAUAAUACGACCUAGGAGAUACAUUCAAAGCAUUUCAUAAGUUAGUUGUUAAUAAUAAAUUAUAUAUGCAGCUCCAAUCAUCAUUGUACGGUGAGUAAUUUCCAGUUAUAAAUAGAUAUUACUCCCUUCCCAGCAAUUUUUGAUGACUUAAUUUAGUGGGAUCAAAAUCAACAUUGAAUUUUUGACCAGCUGCCAACAACUUGUGAGCAGUUCACAGUGGGUACUGCACAUGAUGCCUGUUUCUCCUUUUGCAUCUAUUUUUGUUGUUAACAUUAAUUUCAAUAGCAGCUCGUUAAUCCCAUUUGUUGAUUUGGGACUAGAUAAGAAUUUAUCUUGGAACUCCAAUUCUCCAAUUAUUUUAGUUGACAAUAUAUUUAACAUUAUUAAUUGCAUAUUAUUUAAUUAUCAGUAUAUAAUAUUCUUUAAUUUUCUAAUUUUAUAGGAUUAGACACAAAAUUGAUUAUGCCUUUUGAAAUUUAAGGGUUAUGUCAAUUGAAUAGAAAACUUGGAGGUAAACUUGUGGAUGUUUUUGUUGAUUAUCAAUUUAUGCAUGAAUUUUUGUACGUUUACUUUGGUUUAUAAUUAUUACUUUUAAACAUUUUUAUUGGUUUGAUUUAGGGUCAAUUUGGUAAUCCUGUAGCUUUUAAAAUAAUUACAAUUAGCUAUGCUGUAGAAAUUGAUCAAUCGUCAAGAGAAUCAGCUGAGCAUUUAGUAAAAUUUAUUUUUAAAAGUACUUUUAGUUUUAAAAGCGUUGUAUGAAUAAAACUGUUACACUAAAAAUUAAAUGUAUUGCCCACUUGGGUAAAUAAAGCUAUAUAUUACAACUGUUACACUAAAAAUUAAAUGUAUCUUAAACCCAAACUUCUUCUUCUUCUUUUUUUGACUAACAAAAUUAAAAACAAUAGUGAACACAUUCUUUAAUAAACAAUAAGUAAUAAAUAAAAUCGUGUUAAAUUUCUUAAAAACUUUCUUUCACGGUUUGCUAAAUAUUUUUAUUAGUAUUUUAAAUAAAUAAAAAUAGUUGAUUUAAUUUUUUUAAAUAAACUUAUUAGGUUCAUGUAAAGAUGUUUUUGUUAUUUUAAAAAGUGUAGAAAGUACUCCUAAAAAAAAGCGUAGAAAGUAAAACUUAAUUUUUUAAAUUUAUUAGCUGAGUGCAUAAAUAAUUGAGUGUUCAUAAUGAUUUUUAAAGUAUAGAUAGUCGGACCCUAAUAUUUUUAAUAAAUGGAAAUUUUGCUAAUAUGUUAAUGAGAAUUAAAAAGAUAAUUAAGGGAGGCAAUCGAGACAUUCAGGAUAGUUAGGAUGGGACAUGAUUGUGAGCGGUUAGAUAUUGGUCCUAAUUUUGAUCACAAAUAUAUAAACAGGACGAGUUUAUCUCUACUUACAUUCCAUUUGAUAAUUAAGAUGAGAGUGGAAUUGUCAAAUCCCAAAUCAUCCCGGACCACUGCCACCAAGGGUACUCUCACUAAUAAUAUCUAAAGAAAAAUCUACAUCUAUUUCAUACUUUUUUUUAAUGGAAAGAGCCCUCAUGGGGCUUGAAAUGGUAUCCUAAAUAAUAUUGAGAAUAUCAGGUCAUGAUUGGGUUUGUGACAAACAAAUACUACAUAGUUGGGAUACGUAGUUAUAAUGUCCCAAUUUAUGUAGUAUCUAUCAUUUAGCGCACAUAUAAAAUAUUAAUCAGCUUAAUUAAUUUAUAAAAUUUAAAUCUAAUUAAUAAGUGAUACAUAAAUGCCAAGUGCAAUACUGUAUAUGCAAAUCAUGUUUGUGGAUCAUUACAAAAUUGGCUCUUGAAAACAAGCAAGAAAGCUUAAUUAAGAACUUAAAACAAAAGAAUUAGAUUGAGAACAGUCAAGCCUUAUUUUUUCAAGGAUGGAGCUUAUAAAUCUUCAAGUACCAACAUACGCUUGGCCCAAUUGUUGUUAUUAAAAUUUCAAUAUACAUAUAUAAGUAUGAUAUAGCAAAAAUUUGAUGGUACAUAUGUCGGAAUAUACUAGUUCAUGGGUGCAUUUGAUUAUUGUUUCCAUAAAUUUGAACCAGGAAGGACGACACGAUAAAAUUUGAUUUUAUGGUAUGGUUGAUUUCAUAGCUCAUGCACUCAUUUCUUAAGAUAAUCAAAUUUUCUCUGACAUCUUUUUCAACUGUCGAAAUAUCAAUUAUGAUCAAUCAAAACGAUUUCAAAACCUUUCAACGAGACAUAUUUCUAAUACAAUAUUGUGAAAAUUACACUAAAAAAUUAAUUUAUUAUAUAUUAUUAUCCAACGAGCACACAAAAAUGAUUUCGUACAAAUCUAAAAUACUAAGCAAUUUUCAAAUAGAAUUUACCAUGUACUACAAGAAAAUAGGGUAUAUGUGACCCCUACUGUGAAUGCAAAAGCAGCCAUUACGCAUAACCCCGAGUUGCUUUUGUUACCCUUUAUGUGACGGCCACACUGCUGUCACAUAUGUUACGAACCGCGUGACGGUGAAGAGCCGUUCGGUAUACUAAUAUUUUAGAAUUUUAAAUUUAUUUCCAGUUAGAAAACUAUUCGCUGGACUCCGUGUUGCUGGCCACCAUCGUAAACAUAACUGGUUGCCAGCGAACGGCGUAAAACGCCGGCCAUCUUCUUCUUCAACGUAUUCUCCCUUCAUCUUUUGAGGUAAGCUUGUGAUUAUGAGUUUCUUCUCUUACUUAGCUUGUAAUUAUAGAUUUUGAUUUUUUUUAAUUCGUAUUGUAGCCGUUAUUGUCAAUUUUUGUCCCGCCAGCAAUAUUUUUUUAUUCCUACAAGUUGAACCCCUGUGUUCUUGUUCCAUUGGUGAGUUUGCUCACUCAAAUUAAUUUUGUUCUGCGGAAUUUACAAAGUUCAAAUGGAUUCAUUUGAAUUACUAUUGAAUUUAGCUUUAAUUCCAACAUCCAUUCUAAUGUUUUGCAAUUAGAUUUAAUUUAAUUUUAUGUUUAAAGCUUCUACAAUGAAUAGCGGAGCUUGGGUUUUAGUUUCAUUUUCUGGAUAACUUGUUUUAGUUUAUCUUGUAUGCUCACCAAAUGCUUGUUAUAUUGUCUGAUAAGUUAUAUACAUUGCUGAUUCUACAUUAAUAAUGUUACGUUGUAUUUUCAGAAAUUAUAAUACAAAAGUUUUUGCAAUGGCGUGCAUCUACAAACUGAAUUGACUUGUAGAAUAAGAGCUCGGAGUAGUGUUAUGUUCUUGAAUAAUUGAAAGUUCAUAUUGUGUAAGAGCAUGUAGAUGUAAAGCAUCAUUACCAUUUCUACAAAGUGCUUUCAUUCUGUUCAUAUGCUCUUCUUGAACUUUGAAAGGUGCCUCGUUCAAGUCCUAGCUAUAACUACUAGCUUUGAUUAAUUAAGUUCCUAUACUAGCUGAAACAGAUUUAUUUAAUUAAUUAAUUGUGUAUGUACUAAUUAUAUUGAAAGUAUAUGAAUUUUUUUUUUAACAUGAAUGACUUCUAAAUGACUUAAAAACCUAAAGGAUGUGUGAAACAAUGCUCAUUUCAUUUGAAUGAGCCCAUUAAUACUUUUAUGUCUAUGAUUUUCAAUAUUGGCUAAAGCAUUUCAGUUAAGUGGUUUACCUAACAGAGAAAAAAAUUUAAUAGAAAACUUCAGAGUUCUAACAGAAAUAUAGUUCACUAUGCAGAUAUAGUUAUUUUACGGUAUACAAAUCAAGUUGUCCUAAUCUCAAUGUCCUAUGACCGAUUUUAUUUUAUAUAGUCAUUAAUUUUUUCCUUGGUUUUUUGUGUUUAUGAGUAUGAAAUAGUGGGAUUUGGUGUACCUUAGCAUCUUUUGAAAAUUCUCUUUCAGUGUGGCCAACAGAAAUAUACAUAUAAUCAAGUUUCUUAAUCGUGUAUAUUAGUUUUGGGUAUGAAUGUUCCUAUUCUAGUUCGAGGCAAAGCUUCUUCGUUUUGGUCUUCAGAUUUCCAGUAGGUUAAGUUAAUCAACUAUCAUAACUGGCUAGCUAGUUAUUGUCUGCCUUGGCGCCAUUACCCAGGCCAUUAUAUUGCAUAGCAUAAGGAAUAGUGAUUAGGGGAUUAUUAGUGAUUUGUUGAGCUUAUUAUCGACCAAACAAACAUAUUCGCCUUUGCCCACAACUUAGUUUGAUUAGUUAUUAGACCAUAAAGAGCCUUGAUCUAUUCAUUGGCUUUAUUAUUUUUAUUUGGUUUUUCUUUCAACAAUAUUGUUGAUUUCUUAUAAAAAUAUUCAUUGGUUUUUAAACACCUAAUCAUUGGCUAUAUGAAGCUAAUUAAAACUGAGGCUUUGGAUCAAUUUCUUCUAACAAGAUACAAAUGAGCAUUAACCUAUCUCCUAUGAGUAAAUUUUUUUAAUAUCCUUGAUUUGUAAGGAUCUGGAGGCCUGAAAUCCUCUAGAUUUUUUUUAACACUGUCAAUGUUCUUUUUAUUCUGAGAAGGAAAUAAAAGGUUUUAUCUUUCAUACCCAAAUAGUAAGCUGGCCUUGUCUUAACAUGGCCUCCCGAGGACUUGCAAGAUUCAUAGUGCCCCCCACCCCAAAAAAUAAAAAUAAAAAACACAAAUAGGAAGAUUUUGCAAGAUUCACCACCAGGUUUUUUUUAAUUUGUUAAUUGUGUGUACGUGCUAGUUAUAUGUUGAAAGAAUAGGAAGAAGUAUUUCAACAUGAAUGACUUAAAACUUAUUGCUCAGUAAACAUAAUCUGCAUGUAUUUAUCGUUUGUAUUUUUUAUGGUUUUGCUAAAGAAAUGAUAUGUGAAAUAAUGCUACAUUGCAUCAGGAAUAAAUUGAAGAGAUUUAUGAUAUUUAUGUGUUAUUCAAAUUUCAGAUUCAAUUUUAAACUUUUGAUACGUGCAUUGAAAGCUUAGACUUGUUUAAGAAAUUAUUAAUAGACACAUGUUUUUAUUAGUGUCAUCUUUGGAUGAUAGUGAGGAUCAUAUGUCUAUUAAUAAUUCUUGAAUUGUCCAGGCUUGGACAGUUUGGGAAUGCAUAGUUCACUCUGGUAGCUAGUAGCUGAAGUUUUUUCCCACGUAAAAAUGGGUUUUUCAGUAGCUGCUCCUCGUGUUCUCUGGGUACGUACUAGGUGAAUGGGUGUCAUGUGUUGUUUUGGCAUAACGCAUAAACACUUAUAUAGCUAUGUCGUGUGCUUGGAGAAUUAUAGGGAGAUGGUGCCGAAAUUUUUAUAAACGUGGAAGAAAACUUUAGGUACUUGAGAUUGAAGAAACUUAUGCAUUCUUGAGUGGGAUAUGUAGGAUUACUUACCUUUUGUAAAUAUGAAGGGAAUGUUGGAUAUAUUGGGGAUAGUGUAGGAGCUGAGUUGGAUGAAUGUAAUUGGUGAUGAUUUUGCUGAGCUGACCUUGGUUUUGAGCUUGUAAUUUUGUUUGUAAAUGGAGUGCUAUCUCCAAUGUUGGUUUAUAAAUAUGUUUCAGGACUUGCUGACCUAAUUUUUUGUUUCUAGGUUACAGGCUUUAUAUAUCUGUAAUUGAUGGCGAAGUGAAGUUCCCAGAACUUGGCGAGGAUGUUUCUUUACAGAAGGUAUUGGAAACUGUUUUUUACAUUAAUUAUUGUUGUAUAUAUACUUUGAUUUUCACAUCUUUUUCUCUGAUUCUUGUGGCUUUGCUUGCUUUCAUAUAUGUAAAUUCUAAUGAAAUUAACCAUAAAAUUGUAAAAUGAUCUUUUUAUUAUAUUGCAAAACUGUGCACACACGAAAAUAUAUUGUUUAGUAGUAGAAAUGAAGAACUAAAAUGAUUUACUUAACUAAUUUUUGUAGCGCAUUAAAAGGAGAUAGUCAUGGACAUGUGUUGGGUUGGUUUGCCAAAUAGAUAUCCAAGUCAUAUACUGAUGGGGAUGAAAAAUUUAUAGAUUUUGCAUUUGAGAAUGUUGUUGGUGGUACAAGAAUUUAAUGUCCUUUUAAGAAGUGUUGUAAUCUAUAUUUCGUUAUAAGGAAAGUGGCUGAUGAUGAUAUGGUUGGAAUGAUACAAUGCAUCACGUAAUCAAAUGUUCAAGUUACACGGAGCAUUGUUAUGGACUAUCAGUGACUUUCUAGCAUUGCCAACUUGUCUGGGUGGAGUAUUAAAGGUAAAUAAGCAUGUCUUGUUUGCCAACAAAACACUAGAUCUAAUUGGUUGAUACAUAGUAGAAAAUUUUGUCACGUGGGUCACCGUCGAUUUUUACCAACAAAUCAUAGGUUUCGAAAAUAUAGUGUCUUUUGAUAAAACUAGAGAGUAGGGACCAGCACAUUCUCGGUUGUCUGGAUCUGAAGUGAAAAAGCAGUUUAAUAUACUUACUGAGUAUAAGAUUGAAGACUUGAAAAUAGGAGAAUGAAUAAAAUGAGAGAAAUGAUAAGAUUACUUGGAAGAAGAAAAGCAUAUUUUAUGAACUACCGUGUUGGGAGUUCAAUUUGAUUCAUCAUAAUCUUGAUCUCAUGGGCUGUUUUGAUUUUUGUUAUGAACUCAGAUCAAAAGUUUAAUGUGAUCAAAAUUUCUUAAAAAUAGUGAAAACGACUCCUAAUAAUAUGGAAGAUGGCUAUAAAAGAUAAAAGGAAAGGCUUAAAAAGAAAAGCCAUGCCUGUCCAAAAAAAAAAAAAAUCAACAAAAAUCAAAACGGUGCGUUUGAGAGUGUAUAAAAUACAUUUAGAGUGGGAGUUGUGUUGUUGCUUGAAGGCAGAAAGAUAUUUGUCGACGAAGCCAAAACCAAAGAUGAAGCCCAUAAAGCUCAAAACUCCACCGGAGCAAAUUCAGACAAUUACGAGGGUUAUGUUUGACAUAGUCAAGGAAGACGGUCCUCUCACCGUUGCCGAAACUUGGGAACGCGUCAAGGUGUGUGUAUCUGUUAAAUUGAAUUUCAACCGUUUGAUCUGUAAUUAUAAUUAAUCCAAUCGAUCUGACAGUGAUCACUGACCAUAAUACUAGUAGUUGUUUUACAUUUUCAGCAGGCUAGAGCGGGUGGAUUGACGGGCAAAAGCUCAGGCUCGUCUGCAAUCACAUGGGCCCUCAUAAGCAAAUCCUGUACACAACUUGGUUCACUAAACCCAACAACUUGAAGCAGCCAAAAUCAGGGAAUGAUCCUUCUCCGUCACAACCCUAGCUGCCUUAACCUUGUAGUGACACGGUGAAGAUGGAAGCCCCUCAGCAUGUAAACUUUUCAACAGCGACAGAGCUCUUAUUCCAGAGGCUGCACAGAAGAGCGACCUGAAUCCUCUUCAAAACUUUCAAAUUUUUAUCAAGUAAAGCUUUCAAAAUUUCUCAACAAACUGAUUAUUUGGUGUGGUUGCCACAUUUUGUGCAACUGCUAUUCGUCUUCAAGUACAAAUUCCUUGCCUUCUAAGUUAGGGAACAUAGAUGUGGAGCAAACAGGGAAAUAGAUGUGGAGCAAACAGGGAAACAGCAAUGAUGGCAAUUAACAAACUAAUAGCAGUAUUACAUUUGAUUCUUUAGCCCAAUUUUGUUCCUUCUGUCAGCCAUUCUUCAAAAGUUUUUGAAAAUUAGAUGUGAAGCAAAAAAAAAACAAAUUUAGACAACAGAAGCCCUGUGCUCAACAUCAUAUAUAUACCUUGAAUACCUAAUAUACUAAAUUUCACAUAUAAAAUACUAGAGAUUUCAAACAGUACCAGCAAUAGAAUAAUGACAACGACAACAAUAACAGAAAAUUACAAGAUUGCUGACAAAAUUUAUGUGAUUUACUGUGCCUUUAUGCAUGCAAAAUGAAACUGAAGAUAAAAAAUUUAGGGAAAAGGACACAGAGACCCCCAACGUUUGAAUAAGGGACACAAAAUCCCUUAAUGUUUCAAAAAAGACACUCAGACCCCCAUUUGUUAACAUUAAAUUAUAAUUUUACCAUUGUACCCUUAUAGCAUAUUAAAAAAUAAUUAUUCAUUAUCCAAUUUAUUUCUAUAUUAUUAAUAAAAUUACGAAUAUAACUUCAUUACUCAAUUUUUCCAUUUAAUUUUUAUCAAAUUUUAUCUUCAAACUAAAUAAAUUUAAUCCAUUGCUCAAAAAUAAAAAUAAAUUAAAUUGAUUAUUAAUAUAAUAAAAAUAACAAUUCUCCAUAUGUUAUUUCUUAUAAUUUCUUAUAUAUAAAUUAAAUUGAUAAUUUCUUAAAAAUAACAAUUCUCCAUAUAUAAAUUAAAUUUAUUUUAAUUUAAUAUAUGUUAUUUUUAUAUUAAAUAUAUGUUAUUUUUAUUAUAUUAGUAAUCAAUUUAAUUUAUUUUUAUUCUUGAGUAAUGGAUUAAAUUUAUUUAGUUUGAAGAGAAAAUUUGACAAAAAUUAAAUGGAAAAAUUGGAUAAUGAAGUUAUAUUCGUAAUUUUAUUAAUAAUAUAGGAAUAAAUUGAACAAUGAACAAUUAUUUUUUAAUAUGCUAUGAGGGUAUAAUGGUAAAAUUAUAAUUUACUGUUAACAAAUGGGGGUCUCAGUGUUUUUUUUGAAACAUUAGGGGUUUUGUGUCCCUUAUUCAAACGUUGGGGGUCUCUGUGUCCUUUUCCCAAAAAUUUAUAAACUAGAAAUUUAUAAUAAUCUAACUUAUUCUCGUUACUAUUAAAAAAUAAGUAAACAUAUCAAUAACAAUAUAGUUUAUUAUGAUUAUAAUUCAUUCAAUUAAAAUAAAUAAUUUAUUCUUAUUUCUAUUCUCUAUUCUAAUUUCAGUAAAUUUUGAUUUUAGUUUAUUUUAAUUAUUGAUUAGUUGUAAACUUAACUGGAAAUUUAUUGCAUAUAUUACGAGAAGCAGUACACACCAAUGGUAAAUUGAUACAUCGUUUUUGAGCUUAAGAUAGUCAAAUGAAAGAAACACAACGUAGGGUUCAUGAAACACUUUCAAAGCUGCUGAUGACUUAAAGUGAAUAACCUCAGCAUGUAAACUUAACUUCAAAGGACGGAGCACAAGUUUCACAGAAAAACAGCUCUUAUUUCUGAUGCUGCGAACACAGAGGAGUGACCUCAAUCUUCUUCAUCACUUGGGAAUUCUGCAAUUAUAGAGCACGACAUUGAGCAUGAACUAGAAAAAAUAUUUAUUUUCUACAAUUUUCAUAUAACCUCACUAACCAAGAUUAAUUUUGUGGUAAUGUAUUGGGUCAUUAAUUCAUAUGUUUUUACUGUCAUCACUUUAGAAAAAACUAAUUUCUCAAUGUGAAAUGGCCCAUAAAAGGUAUUCUCAUUUAAAAACUAAAUUUGACAAACCCCUCGAUUAAAGCAGGGGAGAGAAAAGAAAAAAAAAAAGAUCUGAAGGCUUUCCACAUGAAAAUGUUGUCACUUUGGAUGAUAUUUUCAAGGGAUUUCAUUCUAAAAAUAAAAUACCUGGGACCUUAUUCUUCAAAUUGACAGCUCGCCCAGUACUAAACGCGUAUGAGAUCAGUACUGGGACAAGUAACGAGACGACCCCUCCAACAGCUGAAAAUAAAAUUCGCAUUCAUCAAUUUAAAUUGAAAUUCAUAUUAUGAAAUUAAAACUAAUGAUUAAUGAAUUUUCAAGGAAUUUAAUAAGAUUCUCAUAUAUAAACGUGAUAAAAAAUUCACUCAUCAAUAACAAAUAUUCUAACAUUUUGUUGAUGUAAUUGUUGUAUGGUUGUGUUAAGGUCAUUAUUAGACCAACGCAGUUUGUCAUCACUCAUUCCGUACCAGACGUUUACUCUCGGAGGCGUGAUUGAUUCUCCUUUGGUGAAAUCUUCAUCUUCGGACAACCAAUCACAGUAAGAUAUUCCAAAGAUGGGAAUUUGAAGGCGUAAUUGCCAGAGGAGAAGCUUGUGAGACUAUCUAAAUCAAACAGGGACAACGUAGUCAGUUUGCUGAAAACAAUCUCUUCUUUUAAAUAUGCUGUUUCAUUUCAAGACUGGCAAAAUUCAUUGUGUAAUCAAAGUUUUCAAUGAUCCAACUAAUAUAUAUAUAUAUGUAUGUAUAUUCCUUCUCUAGUGCAGACAUUCUCAUUUUUUUUUUUCAUGUGGACCAGUUUUUAGAUCCCCUGGUUUAAAAGAGUUAGUUUUUAACUCUUUAAAACCGCAUGGCUUCAUAAUUUAUUUAAAAACUAACUCUCUUAAACCGCACGGUUUAAAAGCGUGUCCACAUUAAAAAAAAAAUACGGACCCCCACACCUGAGAAUGAUUAUAUAUAUAUAUAUAUAUAUAUAUAGACACACGCUCUUAAACCGUGGGAUUUGAAAGCUUCUCCGCAUGAAGAAAGUAAAAAAUAAGGGCAUUCCCACUAGAAACAAACUCCAUAUAGGUAUUUAUUAAACCUCCUGAUCUGUGAGUGAGGAACAACAAAUAUAAUUGAUAAAAAAAAUCUAAAAUUUGGUUUCAUACCUUCUUGAACGAGAACAGGGUUGUUGUGCCGGAAUACCAAAUUGAUCAUUCUCGUUAUUCUGGGACAACGUUAUUUUAUCACAAUUACAGGCCUCCAAUGUUUUUUAGUGCUGGCCAUUCUGAAGUAUGCAUUCCAGGGUAUAAACAUCCGAGUUCUGGUAGACCUUCGAGAUUCAGAGUGGUCACUUGUGGAAAGACAAAAUAUGGGGUCACUUGAUCUGCUCUGUCUUUGGAGAUGAUCUCUUGUAAACCCAUACAUAUCCGUAUCUCCAGGUGUUGGAGGUGCUCAAGGCUUUGGAUCAUAGAAGCUGAAAAUAUGUAUUUUAAUUUGUCACAGCCCCACACUAUCAAUCGUGUCAAACUUUGAAAGCCGCAAGUUGAUUGUCAUGCAAAAUCUCGUCGACAUUAAUAGCAUUCAGCUCCAAAGCCUCCAAAUUUGGCAACACUACCUGAAGAUAAUUUUCUCUUUAGAUCCAAUAUCCGUAUGGAAAGCACUUGUUUUGACACAAUAUCCAUAUAAGAAGCACUUAAUUAAGAGCUUAAUUAGCGAGUGUAUGAGACUUUUUUUUUUUCAAAUGCCAGUGCAUGAUAGAACUAAAAAAAAAAAAGAAGCAUUAGCCUACGUACCUUCUCGUUGAAAAGCAGAGUUGACGUUUCCGAACUGAUCUCGUUGGAACUGGCUGUCAAUUCCUCUUGCGACUCUUGUCUGUUUGGUGAUGUGGAAGAAGUCUUCACUUCACCGCAAAACCUUGUAACCUUUGGAAGCUUUCCCAGACUCAAAGAUCUUAAUUGACCAAACUCUAUCUUCCCAUCAACAUCAACAUCAGCUUCUCCUCCAGUUGCAAAAAUCUCUUCCAUGCUGCUGCAAUUGAUAACUGCAAUCCUCUCCAGUCUUGGAAGGCAUUUUGUACUACUAGAGAGCCAGAAGAUAUUACUCAACUCAUCACAAUUUUCUACUUUUAUGGUUUUGAGUUCAUUGAAGGACUCUAUUUGAGUCGAUCAAUACAUAUCCUCUCCAUAUUGAUCAAAUUUUGAAGAGUAUGGGACUCCAAAAGAGGAAAGGCGACACAUGGUUCUCUCUCCAUUGAAUCGACGAUACACAGGAAGUCUGGAUUAUUUUGAACAUGGAGAUGCUUCAAUUGUGAAAAGCCCUCAGUGUCCAAUUCUAAAACAACAUUCUUGAUUCCUUGCAACUUAUCCAAACAUAAGUAUUCAACGUUAUUGAUGCGCUGCAACUUCUCGGAGCAAAUGGCCAUAGAAUCAAGCUUGAGCUUCAAUGUUCUUAAACUCUCAUGAUUACUGAUCAUAAAGUGCUGCCGACUUCAAACCAAUCAUUCUCAAUAACCAGGGUAGAGUCGAAUGAUGCAUCUCCUAUUGAUAUAUCAAACCUUUCCAGCUUUUUGGAAAAAAAGCCAUCCGGUAAAAUGCUAUCAUUUUUAACAUCUAUCUAAGGUGGUCAAUCGCCUCAUAUGCAUCAAUUCGUCGAGGGUGGCAUUACUUCUUUCACUAUUGGCCUUUUCAACUUCCCAUUCAAUAGGGGAAUUACCCAUAUACAGUUCUUCCAAUCGAGUGAAGCUUGAUAAGACGUUGGGCACAAUAAAUUUUAGUUGCAAAACAAUCUGUUAAAUCUAACAGCCUUAACUUAGUCAGUUGACCUAGUUCGCCAGGCAACCGUACAAUAUCAGAAUUUAAAAAGCUAAGGAUUUCUAGAUUCUUCAACUUUCCAAUUAUGGCUAUGUCUCCCAACAUGCUUUGAUCUAGACAGAGUGUUUGAAGAUUGCUAGAAGACCGAUUGAAGAUGGCAAUGAAAAUAAUCGCAUUCGUGUCAAAUCUACAACUCGAAGCUUUUUCAGCCUUUGAAAAUGUUGUCAGGAAUAUUGACCUCAACAAAAAGUGUUUGGGAAAUAUGUAAAAAUUCAAGUUGCAGACAUUCAAAUUCCUCAGAAACUUCAUGAAUGCUACUAUUUAGUAAAAGAGAUUGCAUAGCAUUUUUUAAGUGCAUCCUCAUCUGGCCACUCCCACACAGCCUCAUUUCUCACCAAUAAAGCAUGUUGGUCUCGAUUUAAACUUUAACUCAAUUUGAAAAACUGAGCAAGUAUGCGUUACAGGAAAUCAAAAAAGCUCCACAUACCCAGAUCAUGAUCUCACGUUGAAUCCAGGUGGGAGAUAUAUUUAUGAUCAAGCCCAACAAUCGAAGGGGGCAAAAAAAAAAAAAAAAAAAAAAAUCUACCAGACAUAUGAUCAUAUUGACCACGAGCUUCAUACGCCGUGGAUUUAUUAACAAAAGUGGAAUUAAUUAAUCAUGAGCAUGUGUUCUAGUUAAGUCAAAAGAGAACUUAAUUAAGAACGCAUAUAUAAUUCAUAAUCAGCACAUAAAAAAUCACUAGUGCUUGCCCCUCCUGCCCUUGCCGUGCUUGCCGUGCUUGCCCCUGCCCUUGCUCUUUCCAUGCUGGUAGUAGCCGCCGUGCUUGCCGUGUGUGUAUGCACCGUGAGCUCCAGGAUAUGCGUUAUUAUCUGCAACAAAAUAAGAAAUUAAAUCAUAAGGCUUAUAAUUAGCUCGCUCGCUAAGAGUGAUUAAAAUAAUACCGUGCGGAACGGAUGGGCCAGGAUAUCCCGUUGGUGUGUAACCACUGGCGAGUGCUGCUCCUGUAGGCGGGUAGCCGGCACCGGCUGGGCAGCAUGAUCAGCACCUUCCAUGAUUUUGAUGAUCACCUAAUAAAUAAUAACUUGGUCCAAAAUAAACAACAAUAAAUAAUUGUGAUUAAUAAAAAGUAAUAUAUUCUCUAAUUAAAAACAUUAAUGAUCAUUGGAGAGCAAGCGAGAAAUACUUACUGAAUGCGAUGGGACAGACAACAUCAUGCAUAGAGAAUUGUUCAUCUUCAACGAAUUUGGCUGCCCGGUCAAUGAUGCCGUUAGCACUAACCAGCCACUUCUCAACCUUCUCUUCAAUCUCUUCCCCUUUUUCUUUUGCCUCUGAAACUCUGCGCCGAAUGCUCGUACGUUCAACCUUCAACUUCUCCAUUUCCGUCUUGAGAUUCUCAAGGUGGCAUUGUAGUUCCGCUUGCGCAAAUAAACAAGUUGGCGUUCUGUUGAGGAGCCAAGCAUUUACAAGUUCCAAAACGAGAGUAACAAUGAUUUCCAGCAUCUUGAAUCCUGACAACAAUGUAGAAGUGAAGAAGGCCAAAGGACAGUCAAAACAGAGAGACAGCGUUACGACAACAGUUAUGAGCUAAAAAUAAAUAACAAACAAACAGAAGCAAAGUGUUUUUCGAAUGAGAAGAAGGAAGCAAGAAAAACUUAAAACUAGUAUAAUAAAUUUAUACUAAAACUAGUAUAGUAAAACAAGAAGUCAAGAACCAGCAACUUUUACACACAAAAUAAAACCUUAAAACUAGUAUAAUAAAUUUAUCAUCAAGUUGCAGCCUUCUUAUUCAACAAUUACAGCAUUAUCUUGAGCUCUGUGUUUCUUUUUUUAAAAAUUAUUCAAAAAAAUCUGCAUUUUUUUUCAACGAUAAAAAUUAUAUUUUUGUCUCAUAUAAUAUAAAAUUAAAAAAAAAACAAACAUAUAUUAAAGGUCUGUUUGGGAUUAUUUUUAGAGGCUCAAAAGUAAUUUUUUAAAAAGUUAAAUGCUAAUUUUGGUAUUUAAUAAAAUUUUUAGAAGUCACCUUUGGUAAAAUCAUCAAUCCUACAACAAAUUUUGAAAGCAAAUAGUUUUUCAAAUUUUUAUUUUGAUAAUUAAUUUUAUACUUAAUAUAAUUCCAUAUACAUCCCUACAUAUAUUAAUUAUCCUUAUUAAUUAGAAAAUAAAAUUAUUAACUUUAAAGAUAUUAUCAACAAUUACAUUGAGAUAACAAACUAAAAAUAAAAUUAAUAAUAUAAAAUAUUUAUUUUAGUAAUCAAUUAUUAUACUUACAAGAUAAAAAAUAUUUUAUUUAAAUGUUUAUAAAUGUACAAAUAAAUUUUAUUUAAUAUUAUAUUCAAUUUAGUCAUUUACAUUGUCAAUAGGACUUCUAAAAAUAAAUUUUCCUAAAUGUUUAACUAAUUCUCUUCAUAGUGAUUAUUUNUUUUAUUAUAUUAGUAAUCAAUUUAAUUUAUUUUUAUUCUUGAGUAAUGGAUUAAAUUUAUUUAGUUUGAAGAGAAAAUUUGACAAAAAUUAAAUGGAAAAAUUGGAUAAUGAAGUUAUAUUCGUAAUUUUAUUAAUAAUAUAGGAAUAAAUUGAACAAUGAACAAUUAUUUUUUAAUAUGCUAUGAGGGUAUAAUGGUAAAAUUAUAAUUUACUGUUAACAAAUGGGGGUCUCAGUGUUUUUUUUGAAACAUUAGGGGGUUUUGUGUCCCUUAUUCAAACGUUGGGGGUCUCUGUGUCCUUUUCCCAAAAAUUUAUAAACUAGAAAUUUAUAAUAAUCUAACUUAUUCUCGUUACUAUUAAAAAAUAAGUAAACAUAUCAAUAACAAUAUAGUUUAUUAUGAUUAUAAUUCAUUCAAUUAAAAUAAAUAAUUAUUCUUAUUUCUAUUCUCUAUUCUAAUUUCAGUAAAUUUUGAUUUUAGUUUAUUUUAAUUAUUGAUUAGUUGUAAACUUAACUGGAAAUUUAUUGCAUAUAUUACGAGAAGCAGUACACACCAAUGGUAAAUUGAUACAUCGUUUUUGAGCUUAAGAUAGUCAAAUGAAAGAAACACAACGUAGGGUUCAUGAAACACUUUCAAAGCUGCUGAUGACUUAAAGUGAAUAACCUCAGCAUGUAAACUUAACUUCAAAGGACGGAGCACAAGUUUCACAGAAAAACAGCUCUUAUUUCUGAUGCUGCGAACACAGAGGAGUGACCUCAAUCUUCUUCAUCACUUGGGAAUUCUGCAAUUAUAGAGCACGACAUUGAGCAUGAACUAGAAAAAAUAUUUAUUUUCUACAAUUUUCAUAUAACCUCACUAACCAAGAUUAAUUUUUGUGGUAAUGUAUUGGGUCAUUAAUUCAUAUGUUUUUACUGUCAUCACUUUAGAAAAAACUAAUUUCUCAAUGUGAAAUGGCCCAUAAAAGGUAUUCUCAUUUAAAAACUAAAUUUGACAAACCCCUCGAUUAAAGCAGGGAGAGAAAAGAAAAAAAAAAGAUCUGAAGGCUUUCCACAUGAAAAUGUUGUCACUUUGGAUGAUAUUUUCAAGGGAUUUCAUCUAAAAAAUAAAUACCUGGGACCUUAUUCUUCAAAUUGACAGCUCGCCCAGUACUAAACGCGUAUGAGAUCAGUACUGGGAAAGUAACGAGACGACCCUCCAACAGCUGAAAAUAAAAUUCGCAUUCAUCAAUUUAAAUUGAAAUUCAUAUUAUGAAAUUAAAACUAAUGAUUAAUGAAUUUUCAAGGAAUUUAAUAAGAUUCUCAUAUAUAAACGUGAUAAAAAAUUCACUCAUCAAUAACAAAUAUUCUAACAUUUUGUUGAUGUAAUUGUUGUAUGGUUGUGUUAAGGUCAUUAUUAGACCAACGCAGUUUGUCAUCACUCAUUCCGUACCAGACGUUUACUCUCGGAGGCGUGAUUGAUUCUCCUUUGGUGAAAUCUUCAUCUUCGGACAACCAAUCACAGUAAGAUAUUCCAAAGAUGGGAAUUUGAAGGCGUAAUUGCCAGAGGAGAAGCUUGUGAGACUAUCUAAAUCAAACAGGGACAACGUAGUCAGUUUGCUGAAAACAAUCUCUUCUUUUAAAUAUGCUGUUUCAUUUCAAGACUGGCAAAAUUCAUUGUGUAAUCAAAGUUUUCAAUGAUCCAACUAAUAUAUAUAUAUAUGUAUGUAUAUAUUCCUUCUCUAGUGCAGACAUUCUCAUUUUUUUUUUUUCAUGUGGACCAGUUUUUAGAUCCCCUGGUUUAAAAGAGUUAGUUUUUAAACUCUUUAAAACCGCAUGGCUUCAUAAUUUAUUUAAAAACUAACUCUCUUAAACCGCACGGUUUAAAAGCGUGUCCACAUUAAAAAAAAAUACGGACCCCACACCUGAGAAUGAUUAUAUAUAUAUAUAUAUAUAUAUAGACACACGCUCUUAAACCGUGGGAUUUGAAAGCUUCUCCAUGAAGAAAGUAAAAAAUAAGGGCAUUCCCACUAGAAACAAACUCCAUAUAGGUAUUUAUUAAACCUCCUGAUCUGUGAGUGAGGAACAACAAAUAUAAUUGAUAAAAAAAAUCUAAAAUUUGGUUUCAUACCUUCUUGAACGAGAACAGGGGUUGUUGUGCCGGAAUACCAAAUUGAUCAUUCUCGUUAUUCUGGGACAACGUUAUUUUAUCACAAUUACAGGCCUCCAAUGUUUUUUAGUGCUGGCCAUUCUGAAGUAUGCAUUCCAGGGUAUAAACAUCCGAGUUCUGGUAGACCUUCGAGAUUCAGAGUGGUCACUUGUGGAAAGACAAAAUAUGGGGUCACUUGAUCUGCUCUGUCUUUGGAGAUGAUCUCUUGUAAACCCAUACAUAUCCGUAUCUCCAGGUGUUGGAGGUGCUCAAGGCUUUGGAUCAUAGAAGCUGAAAAUAUGUAUUUUAAUUUGUCACAGCCCCACACUAUCAAUCGUGUCAAACUUUGAAAGCCGCAAGUUGAUUGUCAUGCAAAAUCUCGUCGACAUUAAUAGCAUUCAGCUCCAAAGCCUCCAAAUUUGGCAACUACCUGAAGAUAAUUUUCUCUUUAGAUCCAAUAUCCGUAUGGAAAGCACUUGUUUUGACACAAUAUCCAUAUAAGAAGCACUUAAUUAAGAGCUUAAUUAGCGAGUGUAUGAGACUUUUUUUUUUUUCAAAUGCCAGUGCAUGAUAGAACUAAAAAAAAAAAAGAAGCAUUAGCCUACGUACCUUCUCGUUGAAAAGCAGAGUUGACGUUUCCGAACUGAUCUCGUUGGAACUGGCUGUCAAUUCCUCUUGCGACUCUUGUCUGUUUGGUGAUGUGGAAGAAGUCUUCACUUCACCGCAAAACCUUGUAACCUUUGGAAGCUUUCCCAGACUCAAAGAUCUUAAUUGACCAAACUCUAUCUUCCCAUCAACAUCAACAUCAGCUUCUCCUCCAGUUGCAAAAAUCUCUUCCAUGCUGCUGCAAUUGAUAACUGCAAUCCUCUCCAGUCUUGGAAGGCAUUUUGUACUACUAGAGAGCCAGAAGAUAUUACUCAACUCAUCACAAUUUUCUACUUUUAUGGUUUUGAGUUCAUUGAAGGACUCUAUUUUGAGUCGGAUCAAUACAUAUCCUCUCCAUAUUGAUCAAAUUUUGAAGAGUAUGGGACUCCAAAAGAGGAAAGGCGACACAUGGUUCUCUCUCCAUUGAAUCGACGAUACACAGGAAGUCUGGAUUAUUUUGAACAUGGAGAUGCUUCAAUUGUGAAAAGCCCUCAGUGUCCAAUUCUAAAACAACAUUCUUGAUUCCUUGCAACUUAUCCAAACAUAAGUAUUCAACGUUAUUGAUGCGCUGCAACUUCUCGGAGCAAAUGGCCAUAGAAUCAAGCUUGAGCUUCAAUGUUCUUAAACUCUCAUGAUUACUGAUCAUAAAGUGCUGCCGACUUUCAAACCAAUCAUUCUCAAUAACCAGGGUAGAGUCGAAUGAUGCAUCUCCUAUUGAUAUAUCAAACCUUUCCAGCUUUUUGGAAAAAAAGCCAUCCGGUAAAAUUGCUAUCAUUUUUAACAUCUAUCUAAGGUGGUCAAUCGCCUCAUAUGCAUCAAUUCGUCGAGGGUGGCAUUACUUCUUUCACUAUUGGCCUUUUCAACUUCCCAUUCAAUAGGGAAUUACCCAUAUACAGUUCUUCCAAUCGAGUGAAGCUUGAUAAGACGUUGGGCACAAUAAAUUUUAGUUGCAAACAAUCUGUUAAAUCUAACAGCCUUAACUUAGUCAGUUGACCUAGUUCGCCAGGCAACCGUACAAUAUCAGAAUUUAAAAAGCUAAGGAUUUCUAGAUUCUUCAAACUUUCCAAUUAUGGCUAUGUCUCCCAACAUGCUUUGAUCUAGACAGAGUGUUUGAAGAUUUGCUAGAAGACCGAUUGAAGAUGGCAAUGAAAAUAAUCGCAUUCGUGUCAAAUCUACAACUCGAAGCUUUUUCAGCCCUUUGAAAAUGUUGUCAGGAAUAUUGACCUCAACAAAAGUGUUUUGGGAAAUAUGUAAAAAUUCAAGUUGCAGACAUUCAAAUUCCUCAGAAACUUCAUGAAUGCUACUAUUUAGUAAAGAGAUUGCAUAGCAUUUUUUUAAGUGCAUCCUCAUCUGGCCACUCCCACACAGCCUCAUUUCUCACCAAUAAAGCAUGUUGGUCUCGAUUUAAACUUUAACUCAAUUUGAAAAACUGAGCAAGUAUGCGUUACAGGAAAUCAAAAAAGCUCCACAUACCCAGAUCAUGAUCUCACGUUGAAUCCAGGUGGGAGAUAUAUUUAUGAUCAAGCCCAACAUCGAAGGGGGCAAAAAAAAAAAAAAAAAAAAAUCUACCAGACAUAUGAUCAUAUUGACCACGAGCUUCAUACGCCGUGGAUUUAUUAACAAAAAGUGGGAAUUAAUUAAUCAUGAGCAUGUGUUCUAGUUAAGUCAAAAGAGAGACUUAAUUAAGAACGCAUAUAUAAUUCAUAAUCAGCACAUAAAAAGAUCACUAGUGCUUGCCCCUCCUGCCCUUGCCGUGCUUGCCGUGCUUGCCCCUGCCCUUGCUCUUUCCAUGCUGGUAGUAGCCGCCGUGCUUGCCGUGUGUGUAUGCACCGUGAGCUCCAGGAUAUGCGUUAUUAUCUGCAACAAAAUAAGAAAUUAAAUCAUAAGCUUAUAAUUAGCUCGCUCGCUAAGAGUGAUUAAAAUAAUACCGUGCGGAACGGAUGGGCCAGGAUAUCCCGUUGGUGUGUAACCACUGGCGAGUGCUGCUCCUGUAGGCGGGUAGCCGGCACCGGCUGGGGCAGCAUGAUCAGCACCUUCCAUGAUUUUGAUGAUCACCUAAUAAAUAAUAACUUGGUCCAAAAUAAACAACAAUAAAUAAUUGUGAUUAAUAAAAAGUAAUAUAUUCUCUAAUUAAAACAUUAAUGAUCAUUGGAGAGCAAGCGAGAAAUACUUACUGAAUGCGAUGGGACAGACAACAUCAUGCAUAGAGAAUUGUUCAUCUUCAACGAAUUUGGCUGCCCGGUCAAUGAUGCCGUUAGCACUAACCAGCCACUUCUCAACCUUCUCUUCAAUCUCUUCCCCUUUUUCUUUUGCCUCUGAAACUCUGCGCCGAAUGCUCGUACGUUCAACCUUCAACUUCUCCAUUUCCGUCUUGAGAUUCUCAAGGUUGGCAUUGUAGUUCCGCUUGCGCAAAUAAACAAGUUGGCGUUCUGUUGGAGGAGCCAAGCAUUUUACAAGUUCCAAAACGAGAGUAACAAUGAUUUCCAGCAUCUUGAAUCCUGACAACAAUGUAGAAGUGAAGAAGGCCAAAGGACAGUCAAAACAGAGAGACAGCGUUACGACAAGCAGUUAUGGAGCUAAAAAUAAAUAACAAACAAACAGAAGCAAAGUGUUUUUCGAAUGAGAAGAAGGAAGCAAGAAAAACUUAAAACUAGUAUAAUAAAUUUAUACUAAAACUAGUAUAGUAAAACAAGAAGUCAAGAACCAGCAACUUUUACACACAAAAUAAAACCUUAAAACUAGUAUAAUAAAUUUAUCAUCAAGUUGCAGCCUUCUUAUUCAACAAUUACAGCAUUAUCUUGAGCUCUGUGUUUCUUUUUUUAAAAAUUAUUCAAAAAAAUCUGCAUUUGUUUUUCAACGAUAAAAAUUAUAUUUUUGUCUCAUAUAAUAUAAAAUUAAAAAAAAAAACAAACAUAUAUUAAAGGUCUGUUUGGGAUUAUUUUUAGAGGCUCAAAAGUAAUUUUAAAAAGUUAAAUGCUAAUUUUGGUAUUUAAUAAAAUUUUUAGAAGUCACCUUUGGUAAAAUCAUCAAUCCUACAACAAAUUUUGAAAGCAAAUAGUUUUUCAAAUUUUUAUUUUGAUAAUUAAUUUUAUACUUAAUAUAAUUCCAUAUACAUCCCUACAUAUAUUAAUUAUCCUUAUUAAUUAGAAAAUAAAAUUAUUAACUUUAAAGAUAUUAUCAACAAUUACAUUGAGAUAACAAACUAAAAAUAAAAUUAAUAAUAUAAAAUAUUUAUUUUAGUAAUCAAUUAUUAUACUUACAAGAUAAAAAAUAUUUUAUUUAAAUGUUUAUAAAUGUACAAAUAAAUUUUAUUUAAUAUUAUAUUCAAUUUAGUCAUUUACAUUGUCAAUAGGACUUCUAAAAAUAAAUUUUCCUAAAUGUUUAACUAAUUCUCUUCAUAGUGAUUAUUUCCAAACAUAACUACCAAAAAUUACUAUAAUAGAUACAACAUUACCAAAAAAAUAUUGAGAUAGAUUUUAAUUAGGUAAUUGACUUAAUUAUGAAUCAAUUUAUUAUUUCCAUAUGUGUUAUCAAAACCAGCUCAAUAAUGAGAUCACUCUUUUUCUUAAAUAAAAAUAUUUGUGCCAAACAAUUGUUGCAAAAUUUCAAAUAUAAAUUACAAACAACAAAAUUUUCUAAAAUCAUAACAAUAAUUUAUGUUGUGAAUACAUGUAACUAAACCACAUUGAAAUUUUAUUGUUAGUAAAAUUGUUUUUCACGCAAAUGCAGUGACGGAUUCAGUUUCAUGUUUCACCCUCAAUAACUUAAUUUUCAUAUCUAACAAAUCAUCCAUAUUAUUAACAAUAUCAUCACCAAACAUAAUCUACCUAAACAUAAACUAAACAUAACACAUACAUAUAACUAUAUACAUACCGAAUCAGGAAAACAAUGAAAGCUACACGUAUCCGGCUCUACAAUUCCUUCUUGAUACCCUUGUGCUUCUGAAAUAAUCAACCAAUUAUAAAAAUUAGCUUAGGCGCAACUUUACCCCUUUUUUGGAAAACUUAACGAUAAAUAAAGUAUACAAAUCUCUAAAUUAACUUCGUCCCCAUGAAAUUCAGCAUAAAUAGAAAUAGAAUUAUAGAAACCUUACUACCUUUUAUGAGAAAUCCAACUUAUAUAUUUGAGACCUCUCUCUCUAAACACGCGCUUCCUCUCUCUGUACACUUUCCACCUUUGAAUUUUCCUUCACUAAGUCUACCUAAAUGAAUUUAGCAUUCUUCCAGUUUCUUUAGCAUUUUUUCUCCGUGAAAAUAGGUGAAAAAGAGAAAGUGGUUUGAUUAUUUUAAUGUAUGACAGAUCUGGUUUCCAUCUCUGUAAUUUAAGUUUGUCAAAACGAGAUAAUCAACUCUUUGUCGAGUCAGUCAAAUAUAAAAGACAAAUUACUAAACCAAGCAGAGCCCAAAAAAAAAUAUUUCCAAUUAAAUAAUCAUCAAGUCUUUUUCAAUUAAAUUAGGGAGUGCAGAACAACUGUCGAGAGAUAAUCAUUGUUUAUGGAGCCAUAUUAUAUUUUCGAUUAAAAUAGUUGCGCGUGAACAAUUGGCAGAAUUCGUAUAAAUUGUUGUCAGGUCUAUUAUAAUUAACAAGCGGAAUGGCCAAUGGAUGAAGAACCACUGUAAUUUCGUUUAUGAAUUCAAAAUGCUAAAGAAACUGGACAUCAACGCUAAAUGUCAGCCUGCGGCCCUUGCCUCAGUGUCUUUCAGGCGUUACUCUGGGUAGUUGAUAUACUGACCGUCCCUUUAUCAAUUAAUAAUCGAAAUAGGUUAAAAUAUGAAUGGAUUGGAAUGGUAUGACUUGGAAUUAAAAUAUGGAAUGACGAUUAGAUUAAUUAAUUUAUUUAAAUUGAGAAAUUAGAAUCAUAAUAAAUUAUAUUGUUAUUGAUGUAUUUGUUUUAUCUUAAAAUUGCGAUGAGUUGUUACAAAUUACUAAUAUGCCUUUGAUUUUGUAUUAUGAUAAUUAUUAUUUAUUAUAACAUUUGUCAUAUAAUAAUAAUAAUAAUAACAACAACAACAAUUAAUAUUGAAAAAUUUUUAUUGUUAAUAAUAAAUAGGCAAUUAUCCACCGAUCAUGUGAUCUUUUGGACGUUUUAAAAAAUAUACAAACACUUUUUUCUUUGCAGAAAUCCACCUGAAAUUUACAAAGUGUUUCAAUUGUUCACUGUCAUCUAAAUUUUGUUAGAAUUUUCUUGACGUUGUAAGGAUAAAAUUGUUAUUUUUACCUUGACUUCCAAAGAGGAUGUCUUUCAAACAUGAUGAAAAUAAAAAAAAGGAUAAAAAAUUAUCUGUAAACUAUCUGAUCUUUUAGCCAUUAUACAAAAUAUUAAAAAAAUAUACGAACAUUUUUUAUUUUUUUCAACAAUCCAUCUGAUAGUUAUGAAGUGCAUUAGUGCUCCACUACUAUCAUAACCCUUUAAAAAUAUCGCUUAAACACGAGAACCUAUUGCCUAAAAUUAUUUUUCAAGAAAAUGUAACUACAGAUUUGGUUUUGAUCUUCAUGACUUUUAAGUGUACAAGAACAAGAUGAACGAACCUUUGUCGAGUUGAUGAAUUAAGAUAAAUCAAUUACAAAUCGAGAACAAACUUACGGGUGACAUUUUAGUAUUAAGCAAACUAUAAUUGAUCAUCCAAUGAUAGGCUUAUUUUCAAUUAAAUUAGAGUAAAGAUAGACAUUCCAAAUUUUUUCUCUCAAAUUUAAUCCUAGAUAAUGUGUUAUUAAUUGAGUGCUUGGUAAUUCUUUCAAGAUCUAAGUGAAUUAAUUAUAUUAUCUCUCCAACCAAUUGAUGAAUAUUAUAUUAUUUGAGAUAAUUUUUUUUUAUCUCAAAUCCCAGCAAAGAAAACAGAACAAACGGAGCAAAAAUAUUUUUAGAAACCUAAAAUAACAAAAAAAAACUUUUUCUUGUUUUUCUUAUUUUCCACUGUUAAACUUCAAAAUGAACAACUUUAUUCUACCAUCUCUCAAAUAAUAAUAAUAACAACAAUGUCAUCAUCAUCAAUAAUAAUAAUAAUAUAUUAACUUUGUAGGAUGGAGCUCUCGCAAAUCUUCAAGACACAAAAUGUGCUUGACCCCAUUGUUGUUAUUAUAAUUUCAAAAUCAUCUGUAUUAUAUAAUAUUAGGGAAUAUGACAUAGCAAAAUUGAUGGUACAUAUGUUGCAAUAUACUUGUUCAUGUGGCGACACAUUGAAGUAAAGCACAAGCAAAACAACGAAAAAUGUAACGGGAGAGCUCUCAUUAUGUAGAUUUUCAAUAGAAGUAAUGCAAAUUUCACAAGGGCAAUGGCCUUAUUUCGAAUGCUGCACCUGAGGAAUGACUUGAAUCUUCUUUAGAACUCAAGCAUUCUGUAAUCAUAGGGUAUAACAUUUCAACAAAAAUAUUAUAUAGGUCGUUCCUUUAUAUAUUUUCUGGGUACACAUACAGAAAUAUUAUUUUAGGUACAUUUCUCACAAUAAAGCCUGCCCAAUCUAGCAUUUUCGUAAGUUGGGUUUCUUAUUUACAUGUUUUUUCCAUUGGUUAAUUAUCACAAACCUCCACUGAGAUUUAGCAUGUUUUUAGUUUGAUAGAUUGUAUUCGCGUAUUCUCAAAUACCUUUUAGUUUACCACUUCGUAUAAAUUAAGUUGGUGAGGAUAAAAUCAUAAAAGUACACAUUAAUGAUAAAAAAAUUCAAGUAAACUUGAAAUUUUCAAGGGGUAAUUUUUCGGGACCUCCCCUGAGGUUCGGUGUAUUAAAAGUCUCAUAGAAAGUAUUCAUGUAAUUAUAAGAACCUCCCCUGACGUUAGUACACAGUUAACUUGACUGUUAGUGGACUGAUAAAAAGUCAAAAAUGCCAUUGGCUACAAAAAUGAGUGCAACAAUUUGGAGUUAAAUAGUAAACACCACAUUGGAGCACUAAAAAGUCUAUAAUAAUCAUGGAAAAAAAUCAUUGACAUUUACAUAAUAUAAAAAAAAAAAGUAAAAUAUAAAUUAAGAAAAUCAACAAAAUUGUCAACGUAUAGAAUAUUUACAGCAGCAGUGGCUAUAAAUACAACCGUCGUCAAAUUAAAAUAUCACCAUUAGUAAACUACUUCAAUAAGACAAUAAACCAUGAUUCACUCUUCAAAGCAUUCAAAAUACACAACCCGCACAAUAGAAUCACAUACGCACACCUGCUAAUGAAAUAUAAGAACAAACAGGAAAUUGAACUGACAUGGCUAAGAUACUCCUUCCCCAUAGCUAUUAGAAAGAUAAUGAGCGAUUUAUGAAUCAUGAUGCUUGCUUUACUUUCUGGCAGUGUUAGCUUCAAAUUCAAUGAUAGUAAAUGAACAAUGGUUCAUUCAUUAUGAAAGUAAGUGUAAAGCUAGGAAUUUAUAAUAUUCAGAUGUUGGAAUUGGAAAAAUAUUCCUUAAUCGUUUCAAUUGAAGCCAAGGAAGAAAAGAAAUGAGUCUUCUUUUUUCAGGAGACAAGCCAUAUGAAGAAGGCAGACCAGAGCAUAAGAACGAAUGCUACUGCCACAGUAAAAGCCUGGAUCAAUGGGUAAUGGUACCUGCCAUGUCAAUUUCAAGACAAACAAAAAUCAAUUAUCAUCCCCAGACCACAACACCACCAAACCAACCUUUUGAAUCUAAAAUAACAAGUUAAUAAAUCAAAGAUUUCAAUUCAUUUAAGUUUGAAAUCAACUAAAAUAGAAAAAAAAAACCCAAUUUCUUUUUUGUUCAAUAUAACUCAUUCAGCAUCUUCUUCAACACAUUUUUAUCAUUCUUCAUCAUCACAACAAUAAAAAGAAAAAAAAAACAUUGAGUCCAACAUGCAAGUUUUUUUUUUGGGAAACUAACCGUUUUUAGGUUCCAAUUCUAGUAGUCUUAAACAGUAGCCGCCGACGAAAUUCGCUUGGCGACACCCUUUUGCCACCAUUGCAGCUUGUCAUGUUCAUACUCAGCUUAAAAUUACUUGAAGGCAGCAGGGAUUUUAUAGUUACAAAAGUUUCUUCAGAGCUUUUCAAGCUUGAAAAUGGCUGAGAGUUUCAUUUCAUGAGAGAGAAAAUGGAGUUUUCAUUCAUCUUAGAUAAAUUGAAGAUAAUUUGCAUUGUGGGUAAUAAAUUGAUUGUCAGUGCCUAAAUUUGGGUCAUCGACACAACUUUGGAAUUUUUUUUAUUUUUCUUUGAUUUUUAUUAUGAAACUACUAAUUUACCCUCAUAUACUAACAUAUAUGAAAUGGCAUACUAACGUCAGUUAUGUCAAGCAGCUCCCUGUAAUUACGUGAAUAUUUUUCAUGAGACUGUCAAUACACAAAAUCUCAGGGGAAAUCCCUAAACAUUACCUAAUUUUUAAGUUGUGUUCUGAAAUUGGUCUCAACUUUGUAAUGUGUAAUGCCCACAAAAAAAGAAAAGGAAAAAUGGUCAUCUCUUUCCUCCAUUCGAACUGAAGCCAUGAAACGCAAUAUCCCUUUCAUCUUCUCUCUAAUGCUUUGAUUAAAAAACUUGCUUACGAACGGGAGACCAUGACACUGAAUCCGAAGACAGAAAUACCUGAGAUGACUGAUUCACGCCGGCGAUGUGGAAGAAUACCGACCAGUGACUUUCGCCGUCGACCCACAAACAAUCCCAGUGUUUUCGAGCCGCGAAUGAGGUAUGAAUAAGAUUAUUUCCGUGCGUGUCAGUUUUGUAAGGAGAUUUGAUUAAAAAAAAGAAUAAUGGGUCUCGAAAAUUUUUUGAGUAUUUCUGUUGCUUAAAUUUUUUUCCAUCGAUUAAUGUUAGUUGUAGGUGAAUGAUUGUUGCAAACGCAUGUUCGCUUGUGAUUGAUUGAAAAUGACUUGUUAUUUGUUAUGCUGCCAUGUGACUCAUUGAAAAUGCCUCUGAAAUUUUUUUAUUUGUUUAAGGUACUGAUUCUGAUUAUUGAACAGGGAUUCAUGCUAGUUUUUAUUAAAUUAAAGAUGAGAUUAUUUUUUAAGAGAUCUACCAAACCUUCUCUACUAUAGAUUUGGCUUCUGACAUACCUGGUUCGCUGGAGAUAAUUGUUUAUAUAGUCAUUGCUGCUCGUAUUAAUCAGGAACAUUGAUUAGCAAUGUACUGGAAUAGAGAUUGGUAUAAUUUUGGAAAAUUAGUCGUAGAUGCAACCUGAUUAUGGUCUCAAAUAGUGUGAUCUGUCAAUUCCGUUUGCUCUAGCCUAACAACCUUGAAUCUGAGCUAUGCCACUAUACAAAGUCCUGACCUAAUCAAGCUUGUUAGCCAAUGUCCAAAAUUGCAGUGUCUUUAGAUAAGCCCUGUCUUACUUGUUUGAGUUAUAAAUGAAAAUUGAAGUGUCUUUGGAUAAUCACGCUGAAUGUUCAAGUUAUUGAAGAGAAGGGACCCCCAGAUUCAAGGCCGGAGCUCCCUGUUGAGAAGCUUUACAUAUAUGGGAUUGUCGCUGGGCGGAGGAUCGAUAUGCCCGGUUUUGUUUGGAAUAGGGAUGAAGAUUUUGCAUUGAGGCUUUCUUGAUAGAUCAUUCUGCAAAUCAAGCUCCAUGUACCUAUCUUCAGACUCUUGGAUAUGUAUAAAGCAGGUGCAUGCUCUAUAUGUUACUCAUUGUAUCACGAUUAUUUUUCUAUUGCUUAAAAUAAUUGCAGUCCUUGAUGUAGUUGGAGACAACUUAUGGAGGGUAUACAGAGGCUCGAGAGUUUGAUUGCCAUUCAUUUGACACUUGGCUGAGCUACAGCAUACCAACUAGUGAUUAAUAAAGAGAAGGUAUGAAGGUCCUGUUGCUGGUGGUAUUAUCAAUCAGAAUUGUUAUUUUACUUAGUCAUAGUUACCAUGUAUAAGAUUCGUAGACUUUUUGCAUGUUUAUGCAUUCGCAUCAUCUUUUUGUUAAGCUAGAGAUGGUUGAUUUGUGUACUCAUUUGUAUCACUUGUAGCCCUUGAGGAAUAAAAUUUAAAAUUUUGUUGCAUCUCCUGUACUAAAUACUAAUUUUGUUUGCUUUAUGUAUGGGAAAUGGUUCAUUAUCUUAUUUCUUUGAUGUGUAUAGUGUUACACUGUCUAAAGUUGAAAAGUAUUUCUAUCACUUGUGUAAAAAACAAACAAUUUUUUUUUCACUCUUCUUAUAUUGAAUAAAAGAAGGACACCAAGAUCUUCACCAAGAUUGAACGAAAUUUGAUGCAGAAAGCAUAGCAAUUAGGCCAGUGCAAAAUAGCUUCCUUCUGAUUCUCUGAUAUUUGACUUAAAUCUUUUGUUUGUUUCAUUCAUCAAAGUCAUUUUGGAAAGUAGCAGGCGUGAUUUGAUAUUUUCAUUGUAUUCACAUCCGUUGGCACCAAAACAAACAUGCUGGUACUAACCAACAAUUUUUUAUUUUUAGUGUACAAAUUAUUAUUUUUAAGACAAAUAAGCUGGUACUAACCAACAAUAUUUUAUUUUCAGUAUACAAAUUAUUAUUUUUUUUUCUAAAUUAGGGGUAUUAAGAAAAGGUAUGCUAGCACCAGGGGAGGUAUUUGAAAAUAUACAAAUACAAUCUAUCAAACUGAGAAUACACCGAACCGGCAGGUUUCUGAUAAAUCCUUUUUUUCUUUUUCCUCCAUUCACUAUAGGUUCAAUUUAGACGCUGUUGACCAAACAGAAGGUUUGGGUUGGUAAACGCACUGGUGUUAAUGCCAACAACCCAAGGGGCUUCAUGGUCCUCUGGGCCGAAAUAGCGUAAUUAUUAAUUCUCCUCCAGUGAAAAUCUUCAUCUUGGGACAAAUAAUUACGAAUUGACAUUAUAGCUGUGGAAAUUUGGAGGUGUAAUAACCGGAAAAGUAAAAAUCUUAAGAGACUUUUUAAAUAAAAAAGAUACAACACCUUCAAUUUGCUAAAAGUAAUGGUAUCAUUUCUUGUACGGAUAAUGGAUGAUUAGAUUUUGUUUUUUGUUAUCCGACGAAGGAUAUUCAGUUGUUCUUUAUGUGUUCACAGGCAAGAGCAUGAGCAUAUUCAUGGUUUCAUAUAUGCUUCUUGCAUUUUCUAAUUAAGUACUCUCUUUCCUUGCCUUCUUAGUUUUGAAAGAAAGAUGUGAAGCAAAGCAAACCCAGUGAAAUAUACAGAGAAACAGAACCAUCAGAGGAAAAACUAAAUAACAGAACCACAAUUGAACCAAACAAAAUCAAAUAAACCGAGGCAACGGAUACCCUGAAUCAGGCAUCCCUUUUUCUCGAAAGAAAAUAUGUUUGCAUGGGUGGGAACCUAAUAAUUACUCAAGAGUUGGAGUUGGAAAGAUUUGGUAUUCAUAUCUUCACAAUUCAUAAGCUUUAAUGCAGAAUCGACAGCUUUAUAUUAAUUUAUUCAACCAAAAACGAUAAAGUAGGAAAACCACAAUAAUCCACCAACUUUUGCUACUUUUAGGAAUAAUUUUUAGUCAACUUUCAAAAAGUGAGAUGACGAUCUUUGAGUUGAUAAAUCUUGGCCUGCUGCUUAGUACCCUUCCAACAUAUAAAGUACUAGAUGUUUAGCUGAGAAAAUGACGAGAUCAUUUAUCAAAUUUCUUGCGCAUAUAUACAUAUAUAUACAAGAAAUAAGAAUCAGAGUGAUUAUAAGACCUUGCAAUGAGGCAAUAAUACAUCAUCAAAUCUAAAAAUACACAAGAAAUUCGUGACGUAUAUAUAACAAUAGACCUCUCAUUGAGUCAUACAUAUUGAGAAUAAAAUGUCAAAAUGCAUACAAAGAGCUUAUACAGAAAAUGAAUUUACACACAUUUAGAAUAAACUGUCUUUGAACUUCCGAUGGUCAAACAAAGGAAACAGACAGGAAAUGACACACACUAUCAUAUAUGUAGCGACACGAUGAAGUAAAUCACAUGAAGAUGGAAACGGAACCCCUCACAACAUAAAAUUUGAAUAAAGGGGGAAAAAAAGGCUUCAUUUCAAAUGUUGCACAGAAGAAGAGUGACUUGAAUCUCCAUCAAUAUCCAAACAUUCUGCAAACAUAGUGCUGAGAAUUUUAACAAGAAUAACUGUAAUAUCCCAAAUCUCCUAAGGGUAUUUAAGUCUUUUUAAUUUUUAGUGAUCCUUUUUACCCUAGUAUAAAUAGAACAAGAUGUCUUUUUCAUUAUAAGAGAGAGAGAAAAAGAGAGAUCGGUUGAAAAAGAGAGAUGGAGAGACAAGAGAGAAAAGAAAAGAAAAAAAGAGAAGAAGAAAGUCUUCUUCUUCUUCUUAGUUUUUGCCAUAGACAACACAUGGGAUCAAGUUGUUAUUGUUGGGAGAAGUUUUGGAGGUACGUUUUAAUUAUUGGUUUCUAUUAAAUUGUUGUGGAGAAGCAUGAUUGUAAUAGAAGUAGAAAUCAAAGAUUUUACAUAAAUAUGCUGACAGCGAAUUAUUACAGAAAUCAUAGUAAUUUGUACAAAUUGAUUUUGAUUCUGAUUUUUGGGUAUGUUAAACUAGACAUCGUCUAGAAUGUUUUGAAACUUGUUUCAAGUUAAUCGGAUAAGAUUUCAAUUAAUUAUGAUUUUUCAAAUUCAAGUCUGAAAACCUGGAAAUUUAUGAUUUCAGUGAAUAACGUGAAUUACGAAAUUAUUUUUACCAUAGUUAGACUUCUUCAAAAAUUAUGAAAUUUGGACCAAUGCUUUUUAUAUAUGUCUAGUAUGAUUCUGGAAAUUUUCAUGAUUUUAUGAUAAAGCAAUAAAUUGUUUUGUAUUUGUAAAGCAAGUGUGUUCAAAACAGAAAACUGUUUGACAGUAUUGAUGAUGUCUGAAACGUGAAUUAUUUUCAAUAGUUUUUGAAGGAAUUAUGUUAUGAAUUAUGCUAAUCUUCUCUGUAUCGUUCCAAUUUUAUUGGAUGGGAAUUGCUCUGAUACCAUUUGAAACACCCCAGUCCGAAAUCCAAGGGCAAAUAUGUCCACAACUCACAUAUGAUUUAAAUAACUCUUUACAACUGAUAAAAUUCGAGCCUCAAAUACAAAAGCCAGCGGAAUAACUUAAAAACUUAACCAAACCAUCUACUAUCCUCAAUUCAAAACCAUCUUCUCACUCAUCACGAAUCAAUCCUGACUUCUGAAAAUUGAAUCACAAUAAACUAUAAUGAGUACAAAACCCAGUAAGCAAACUAGUUUUUCUUAUACGGAAAAUACAUACAGACUUAUACAUAAUGCAAUGGUUGAUAUGUCAUGAUCUUUUGGAAAUACUGUAAAAUAAAUUCAUAAAAAUCUCUUUCUGUCGCUUUCAAACUUUCUUAUUUUCUUUCGAUGAAAUACGUAUCCUACAAUGUGGCACUUUGUGCUGUACGUGGCACUUUGCGGCGCCCUGGCCCUCAAGAGGUGGCCCCCGCAUAGUCCCAAGAGGUGACCCCCACACAACUUCAAGAGGUGGCCCCCAAUGCAAAAUCUCAUAAAACAUAAAUUCUGUUUGCUAAAAUCCACUUUCUCAUUCGUAGAAAACUCAAUGCAUUUUCGUGCUCAUGCCAAUGAACCAUCACACAUACAUAUGCCCAUGUACAUAAUCACGCUCAACACAUGCCAACACAUCACAUAAACACAUGGGCAAAGACAUCUAAAUCCAUAUCCGUAUAUAUAUCAAAAUAUGCUUUUCACACAAGUCAAACAUAUAUAUUGUUUAGUGUGAUUCGUUUUAAAGUCUAGUUUACUUACCUCUUGGCAUCCUCAUGUAACAAAUGCGUACUGAUACCAUUAACCUAAAAUCAUCAAUAACGCCUCAUAAGAUAUAAUCAAAUCUCAAUCACAAACUGUAAUGUCCUCAAAUAUCUCAAUUUAAACAACUCCUAAGCUCAACCUCAAAUGUCCUCAAUAAUCGGCCCUCAAAACAUAAAUCCUUUACAAAUACUCUUUAUCAGUUGUAAAGAGUUAUUUAAAUUAUAUGUGAGUUGUAGACAUAUUUGCCCUUGGAUUUCAGACUGGGGUGUUUCAAAUGGUAUCAGACCGAUUCCCAUCCGAUAAAAUUGGAACGAUACAGAGAAGAUUAGCAUAAUUCGUAACAUAAUUCCUUCAAAAACUAUUGAAAAUAAUUCACGUUUCAGACAUCAUCAAUACUGUCAAACAGUUUUCUGUUUUGAACACACUUGCUUUACAAAUACAAAACAAUUUAUUGCUUUAUCAUAAAAUCAUGAAAAUUUCCAGAAUCAUACUAGACAUAUAUAAAAAGCAUUGGUCCAAAUUUCAUAAUUUUUGAAGAAGUCUAACUAUGGUAAAAAUAAUUUCGUAAUUCACGUUAUUCACUGAAAUCAUAAAUUUCCAGGUUUUCAGACUUGAAUUUGAAAAAUCAUAAUUAAUUGAAAUCUUAUCCGAUUAACUUGAAACAAGUUUCAAAACAUUCUAGACGAUGUCUAGUUUAACAUACCCAAAAAUCAGAAUCAAAAUCAAUUUGUACAAAUUACUAUGAUUUCUGUAAUAAUUCGCUGUCAGCAUAUUUAUGUAAAAUCUUUGAUUUCUACUUCUAUUACAAUCAUGCUUCUCCACAACAAUUUAAUAGAAACCAAUAAUUAAAACGUACCUCCAAAACUUCUCCCAACAAUAACAACUUGAUCCCAUGUGUUGUCUAUGGCAAAAACUAAGAAGAAGAAGAAGACUUUCUUCUUCUCUUUUUUUCUUUUCUUUUCUCUCUUGUCUCUCCAUCUCUCUUUUUCAACCGAUCUCUCUUUUUCUCUCUCUCUUAUAAUGAAAAAGACAUCUUGUUCUAUUUAUACUAGGGUAAAAAGGAUCACUAAAAAUUAAAAAGACUUAAAUACCCUUAGGAGAUUUGGGAUAUUACAAUAACAGACAAAAUAUUGUGCUUAUAUACUUUUCACAAAACUAGACCAAAUCAGUUCCCUUUUUGGUUUGUGAAAACUUGAUAUUUUUGAAAAUUCUAUCCAAUGCUUUCAAACAAUAUUUCCACAAUAUAGUUGUUCAUAGCUAACCUUUGAUGGUGUAAGGAUUUGUUGUAGGCAUAAUGGGCUAAUUAUAUAUAUAUAUAUAUAUAUUUUACCCGCUGAAUGAUAUUCAGCUUCUUAAUUAUGUGUUCAUAGGCAAGAGCAUUUUCUUAAGUACUUUCGUUGCCUUCCAAGUUUCCAAAGAACAAACAGAGCAGAAACAAAUAUAACGGAACAGCAAUGAUGACAAUAAAUGAUUGGCAAAGAAAGAAAGAAAAAAGUUCGCAUGAUUUCAAGGAAUUAUAAUAUCUGAAGACAUUCAACAUGCAAGUGUUGCCCCUUUUAAUGAAAUUUCAUCAUAAAAUGCUUGCAAGGAAUUAUAAAAUUUUAGAGAACAAGCGAAUUCUCAAACAAAAUACUCAAAUUAAAUUAAAUUAGACCAAAAGACAAUCAAUGACGCAAAAUCUUCCCAUAAAAGCCUGAACGAAUCAUGAAAAGUGCAUUCCAUAUUGACAGUAAACCAAGUGACCCAUUCUAAACAAUUGAGAUGAAAUUGUGAAACAACCCACGAGAUCAAAUAAAUAAAAUAAGAAUUAAUUACCAGCUGGGACUUUCUUCUUCAAAUUCGUAACUCCAAGUCAUAAGAAGCCUAUGAAAUUAGUCGUAAUCCACAGAGUAUGACGACGACCCCGCCAACAGCUGAAAAUAAAAUUCUUAUUCAUUAAUUUAAACUAACUUUAUAACAAAUAUCUUAUCGAUAUUUUAUUUAAAAAGAAAAAGCAAAUUUUGUAAAAUUUUUCCAUGGGAGAUAGAGAGUAACAUGUAUAUCCGUACCUUCUCAGCAUGUAAUUGUUGUAUGGUCCUGUUAAGAUCAUUAUUAGCCCAGCGCCGUUGAAAACCCGCUGUCUCUCCAUACCAGACAUUUACUCUAGGAGGCGUGCUUGAUUCUCCUGUAGUGAAAAUCUUCAAUUUGGGACAACCAAUCACCCACAACGCUUGCAAAGAUGGGAAUUUGAAGGUGUAAUUGGCAGAGGAAAAACUUGUGAGGCUAUCUAAAUCACUCAGUUCCAACGUCUUCAAUUUGCGGAAAACAAUCUCUU
This 42079-nucleotide long non-coding RNA is filed under the name Citrus maxima (pomelo). RNAcentral describes it as "long non-coding RNA (CMAX_LNC001309)". The record is from RNAcentral. Lineage: Eukaryota; Viridiplantae; Streptophyta; Magnoliopsida; Sapindales; Rutaceae.